CACAAGUCAACUUGGCAGUUAUGUAUUUCAAGCUUCGUUUGUAAAAGCACAAUCAAAGAUCACAGGGUUUCUUAAAGAUAAUACAUUAGUCUCACUUACAACAGCACUGAGUAAACCAAUGAAAAUCAAAGACAAACCAGUCAAGAACAUGUCAUGAAACAGAAUCUCAUCUGCAGUAACCUUCGGUGACUCAUGAAACGAUCCAUCAGGGAUCAUCUACCCUCUAAGAUGCAACCAUGUUCUCUUGGCUGGACAAAAGAGAAUGAAAGGAAUAACAAAAGCCAGAAUCUUGUGUAUCAUUCUGUUUUAUCAUAAGAGUGAGUUGUCUGAAACGCACUUGCAGACACAAAGAAAGGGUUCAAAGUAGAAACACAAGGUACGCUGAUAUAAUGGUCUAAAGAUAUAGUAACUAAGCUAGUUUGCAUAUAUCCUCAUACUCAAUAGACUUGAUGACUCUCCCUU
This 462-nucleotide long non-coding RNA is filed under the name Brassica napus (rape). RNAcentral describes it as "long non-coding RNA (BNAP_LNC014638)". Lineage: Eukaryota; Viridiplantae; Streptophyta; Magnoliopsida; Brassicales; Brassicaceae. The record is from RNAcentral.